This 512-nucleotide ribosomal RNA is filed under the name uncultured bacterium. RNAcentral describes it as "partial 16S ribosomal RNA". It matches the Rfam family "Bacterial small subunit ribosomal RNA", at positions 28 to 523 of the family's 1533-position model. The record is from RNAcentral.
GACGAACGCUGGCGGCGUGCCUAAUACAUGCAAGUCGAGCGGAUGGAUGGGAGCUUGCUCCCUGAAGGCAGCGGCGGACGGGCGAGUAACACGUGGGCAACCUGCCCCUAAGAUCGGGAUAACUUCGGGAAACCGGAGCUAAUACCGUAUAUGAUUAUGUCUCACAUGCGCCAUAAUGGACAGCCGGUUUCGGCUUGCACUUAGGUAUGGGCCCGCGGCGCAUUCGCUAGUUGGUGAGGUAACGGCUCACCAAGGCAAGGAUGCGUAGCCGACCUGAGAGGGUGAUCGGCAACACUGGGACGGAGACACGGCCCAGACUCCUACGGGAGGCAGCAGUAGGGAAUCUUCAGCAAUGGACGAAAGUCUGACGGAGCAACGCCGCGUGAGUGAAGAAGGUUUUCGGAUCGUAAAACUCUGUUGUUAGGGAAGAACAAGUACCAUAGUAACUGAUGGUACCUUGACGGUACCUAACCAGAAAGCCACGGCUAACUACGUGCCAGCCGCCGCGGUAA